This 253-nucleotide ribosomal RNA is filed under the name uncultured bacterium. RNAcentral's name for it is "partial 16S ribosomal RNA". It matches the Rfam family "Bacterial small subunit ribosomal RNA", at positions 524 to 776 of the family's 1533-position model. The record is from RNAcentral.
UACGUAGGUGGCAAGCGUUGUCCGGAUUUACUGGGCGUAAAGAGCGCGCAGGCGGCUGGUCAAGUCCGAUGUGAAAUCUCCCGGCUCAACUGGGAAACUGCAUCGGAAACUGAUCGGCUUGAAGGUGGGAGAGGGUAGUGGAAUUCCCGGUGUAGUGGUGAAAUGCGUAGAUAUCGGAAGGAACAUCAGUGGCGAAAGCGGCUUCCUGGACCGGCACCGACGUUCAGGCACGAAAGCGUGGGGAGCAAACAGG